CCGGCCUCGCGGGAAGCCGGCAGCGGCGGCCGGGCUUUGCGGGCGUUGGUCACGUGUCGCCCGUCGCCGGCGUUUGAGGCGUUGGGCGCGGGUUGCUGCCGUGGCUGGGCGCGGCUGACAUCUGCAAGGCGCCCGGGAGAAUGGGGUCAGGCAGGCAUCGUGGCCGGGGCUCGUGAUGGAAGGCUGACAAGAGACAGGCCAUGACUCCCGAAGGCGUGAGUGGACGCCGGUAGAGGCACGACGGGAGCUCGGCGCCGCCGUCCGUCUGCGAGAGCUCCCCGGGUGGCCUUGCCCGGUGGCCGGCAACGUGCCCGCUGCGGAUGCUCGGAAGGCCUGGGAUCGCAGAGCCGGGAGGGACGGGCGUGGGCGAGAAGAAUGUGACCCCGUUCGUCGCCGUUCUACCGCCAACUUGUGCUUGUUUUCCGCGAGAGAGAUUUAUUGCUAUACUUGAAAAUGCAAACCAAGUUUGUGCAUGCAUUCAGGUUGAAAACUUGGAGGUCGCCUUCUCUGGACUUAGCAGAAGACAUCCAACCACAGGAGGCUGCACGACCACACGGUGCCCCUCGAGUUAGGGACCUGGGACAGGAAGGGGGUUCUCUCAGCCCAGCAGUGGGGCUGCUGGCGGGGAGGGGUGCCGCUGAGGAUCCCAGCUGAUGGAAGCGCGCACCUCGUGUGGGUCUGAGUGACCUCUCUGCAUCCGGACACGUGGUGCCCUUGUCUCUUUAUUUUGGGUAAUUUGUUGACCAAUGUCUGUGCCCUGUCCUGGGGCAUUUUUACCUAAAGAAAAGGGGAAAAGGUUAGGACAAGCAGGCAGGGCCCUGCCGAGCUGAGAGAGCGUCAGGUGCCUGUCCUGUUCCUCCCUUCUGAGCUCGGUGGUGGGUGCUGCCCGAAGAGCUCCACGGUCGGGGGGAGGCGCGUCGUGAAGGCGGCGGAUGAAGAGUGUCGGGCGGUUCGCGCCAGACCCCAGAGCAGGGGAUCCUUGUGAAACGACAGCCCUUGGGACUGGAAGCCAGCCUGGGACCUGAGCCCGUGGUUUUUAAAUUAGAGGCACUCACCGUGGCGUCUGGACUUACUGAAGUGCUGGUUCUUGAUGCCUUGGCGAAGAAGGAAGUAAGCAAGAGACAGAGUGAUGGGCAAGACAUAGAUUUAUUAAGAUAGGACGCUCGUGAGAGACGCAGGCCCAAGUGGGCAGGCGAGGAGCCUCUGCCCCCAGGAUCAGGGGGUGCAGUUUUAGAAUCCAAGGGAGUGGGGGUGGGAGAAGACCGCCUCUUCCUCCCGCCGAGGAAGAGCAUCUGACCCUGUGAGGGCAGACUGGGACUGUCCUGGUGCUUAUUCAGAUGGGCAGAAGGGCUGACCUUAACCUCCUGCCCUUGAUCUGAACCUGGAUGCAGGCCUUAUCCCAUCCCCCCCCCCCACACACACACACACAUGACCUGAGGCACAUCUCAUGCCUCCGCUCGUCCUCAGGCAACCCCCCUGAGCGGUCACCAACCCACAGUGAUCUCCCAAAGCUCCCCAGGCCCCCCCUCCAUUCAUGGUCCCCACUGGGACCCCCACAACCUCCCGUGUAACUCUCCUACUCCGUCCCUGUCACGUACGUGGUUGUGCUUAGGAUCUAGAAGAUUCCGAGUUCCCCUGACCUGGUCUGUGAGCCGAGGCCUGGUGAAAGGUGUGUAGACAGCGGGCACCCGCCAGGCGUCUUGUUUUUCUCCCAGGGUUCUUCCUGCCUGAGUUCGAACCUGGUGGGAAGUCGGCUCCUUUUAGUUGUGGGGAAGGCGGAGGUCAUCCAAUCAGGUGUGGGCAGGAAGAUGAGUCAGAUAGUAUCGGGUGGUGAUUAACAACAAGCUUUUGAGUUCAUUGAGUUUGGUUCUUAAAGGCGGCGCUUGGAAGUGCAGUGUCCUCAGACAAGCUGUUGAGCUCUGAGCUGCUUCCUCACCUAGGAGCUGCGGGUAGUAGCAGGACCUUCAUGGAGCUGGGAGCGUGUCGGGAGCACACCGGAAGGACUCAGCAAAUAGACCGUUGUUGCUAAGCCAGCAGCCCCUUUGUGAAGUCCCUUUGGAGGUGUUCUCCCCUCAAAUGCUAUGAAAGGGUUUUAAAUUUUUUUUUUUCUCAUGGGAUUCUUGUUUUAAGACCUUUUGUUUAUUUUUGAAGACUUUAUUUGUGGAGUGAUAAUUCAUCUUCCCUUUACCGAUCAAACAUGUGACCGACAUGCAGAGGUUUCUGCCUCCUCACCUUAACGGUAUAAUCUGAUGGGUUCUUGGUACCGUAGCUAAAGGCUGAUAACUGAUGUUAUAGCUGGAGCAGACUUGUGAUGAGUUAGGGUUCUGUUUCCAGCAGUCUCUUUGAAGUGUUAGCACCAAUCAAGGACUCCCCAGUCGUCUCCAGAGGUGCUAGACUAGAUCUUUCUCCCUCUCAACCUGGUUGGCUUCGAAGCAGAGUUAAUGUUAAACUGGGAGCCAGCCGGAUUCUCGCGAGACGUUGAACCAUGCCCGACUUAUUUUGUCCUGGAGAUCCCGGUCCAUUGACGUGUAUUUUCAUUUUUCAGGCUUCAGUGCAAAAGGAAAACCAGUGGCUAAAUUUUCUAGAGCUGUUAUUUUUUUUCUUGAGGCUUUAUAGUCACUAACAUAUCAGUAACAAUAUGUAUAGUAUGUUUUAAAAAAAACUUUCAGAGUUCCCGUCGUGGCGC
Molecule: long non-coding RNA, 2686 nt
Organism: Phacochoerus africanus (Common warthog)
Lineage: Eukaryota; Metazoa; Chordata; Mammalia; Artiodactyla; Suidae
Exons: 3
Source: RefSeq, a predicted model, not a curated record